Small RNA from Roseburia sp. CAG:303, 166 nucleotides. It matches the Rfam family "Clostridiales-1 RNA". NCBI's taxonomy places the organism in Bacteria, Bacillati, Bacillota, Clostridia, Lachnospirales, Lachnospiraceae. The record is from Rfam.
AAAUGUCAGGGUCAGAAGGUCUAAGCCCACAUGAGCUUGCUCAUAAGUGGGUGAAAGACCUUAGGACCCGCCCCGAUAUGAGCAUAAAAGUGGGGGAAACCCCACGAUAUGCGAAUAUUGGGCAGGAUUGUGGGAGUGCGCAGCACGGAACAAUCCGCAGACAUUU